GACGCGCGGGGCUGGACGUCUGGGUCCUGACGGGCGCCCCACGGCCCUUCCCGGGGUGUGGGGAGGGCGUCUGCAUUGCAUCCGAUUCCCGGGUGUGCCGGGUGUGACUGGGGCAUGGAGGCCGAGGGGACCCUCCGCCUGGCUGAGGCUGGCUGAGAAGUCCCGGCCUUACUGGGCGAUUCCCCGGUGCGCCGGGCUGUGUCUUCCCCGGGGAACCGCGUGUUCUCCCGAGUGCUCUGCCUGCCUCCGGGCCUCGCCCAGGGCAGGUCCACGCCGUGUCAGGGGGUGUCCACGGAAACCGAGGCGGAAAACCGAGGCGGGAAGCGGGGCGCACCGAACCAUUUCUGGGAGCGUCCUCGCAAAACAGUCCAUCAGGGGCACCUUUCCCGUGAAACUGUGGUCAGCGGUUUUGCAUGUGACUAACCAUCUUCGAAAACUUUUAAGUUUCUGAACUUUGAAUUUCUUGGAUCAUCACUUGUGUUUCGACGCAGGAGGCAGCGCCGCCUCCGGAGUCCUCGCGCAUGUGAGAGAGCAGCAGGCAGUGACUCCAUCUCUGAUGUACUGCCCGGGUCUGAAUUCCUAUGAGUCUAUCAGGUGAGCAUCUCUUACCUCUGCUUAUCUCCCCCUCAUUGUUUGAGCAUUCUGGGUUAGGGUGUAGGUUUUGUUUAGUCUGAUGUGGCAAUAACAGCUUUGAGGGCACAGGAAUAAAAUAUUGGCACAGAUUUGUACAUACUUUUCAUUAGCAUAUGAUCAGAUAACAUUUGAUACUGGUGAAUUCAGCUCACAUGUCCCACAGUUCAUGUAACCUGACUGACUUUAGUUCCAGAAUACUUUUACUGUCUUUCUCAUCUCCCUGCCCGGAACUCUGCCUGGCAGUGUGCUCUCUGCAGGUCAGUUACCAUGGCGAGUGCUUUUUAUUUUCUCAUACUAUGACAUCUGCUGUUGUCUCAUCUUGAUGACAGUGUUUUUUACAAGGAAGAGAUGAACGUUUGUUUUUUUAGAAGGAAGAGAUAAGCGUCUUCAGUGAAGUGCAUCCUGGUAGUCCACACUGUUGUUUUUUCUUCUCUUGCGGGUGUGUCUUCAUCACAGCUUUCCACAUAGCUCUUUAGCGCAUUAUUUCAGGUAUAUGGUUAUUCUACCUGCCAACCAGGUUUUCAGCUCUUCAAGGAAAAAAUUAUAUUCAUCAUGUAAUUCUUAGCCUCAAAGACAUUUCCAAAUUCAUAAGGUAAGCUAUGAAAGUACUUUUAGGAGCUAAUGGGUUAAUCCAGAGGUAAGGCUAUUUUUACUGAGAAUUCUGCUCACAUCAUAAUGUAGAGUACAAAGAUGAUGCCUCCUGUACAAGAUCAGAGACCCACAACAGAAGAUGAUUUUACACUUGCUGCUGUCUGACCCAGGCUGACGGCCCUGAAAUGAUGAUAAAUGUUCCCUCACAGCGACUGGUGUCAUUUUUGGAUGUCUUUGUGAACUUCAUCUGGGAGGAGUGGCGGGACCUGAAUGAUGCUCAGAGGACCCUGUAUGGGAUGUGAUGCACAGCUCUUAACACUGCUCUUGUUUG
Long non-coding RNA from Talpa occidentalis (Iberian mole), 1555 nucleotides. RefSeq lists it as uncharacterized. NCBI's taxonomy places the organism in Eukaryota, Metazoa, Chordata, Mammalia, Eulipotyphla, Talpidae. The transcript has 3 exons. The record is from RefSeq and is a predicted model, not a curated record.